AACGAACGCUGGCGGCAGGCUUAACACAUGCAAGUCGAGCGCACUCUUCGGAGUGAGCGGCGGACGGGUUAGUAACGCGUGGGAACGUGCCCUUCUCUAAGGAAUAGCCACUGGAAACGGUGAGUAAUACCUUAUACGCCCUUCGGGGGAAAGAUUUAUCGGAAUUGGAUUAGCCCGCGUUAGAUUAGAUAGUUGGUGGGGUAAUGGCCUACCAAGUCUACGAUCUAUAGCUGGUUUGAGAGGAUGAUCAGCAACACUGGGACUGAGACACGGCCCAG
Molecule: ribosomal RNA, 278 nt
Filed under: uncultured Phaeobacter sp.
Lineage: Bacteria; Pseudomonadati; Pseudomonadota; Alphaproteobacteria; Rhodobacterales; Roseobacteraceae
Description: partial 16S ribosomal RNA
Rfam family: Bacterial small subunit ribosomal RNA
Source: RNAcentral